UGUUCACAAUCAUGACAUUCGACUAUCCAUGCUCAGGUAUUGGAUUUGGAUCUCUGGUUAUUGUAGAUCAGAUCUACUAUUUUACUUGUUUUCUUGUACAUCAUACAGAUUUUGUUAUUCAAAUUUUUACAUAUAUAUAUACAUGCCAUAGAUCCUUUUGUAAGGUAUUUUAUAAUCAGAUCAUAUGUUUGCAUUGUAGAUUAAACUAUUUACUCUGAAGUUAUUCCACUAUAAAAUUUUGAAAAUGCAUGCAUGAAAUCUCUAUAGUUUUUCUUGAUACAGAUGGUAGGGUUAACAUUAGGGUGAUUAGAUGGGAGGUCGCAAGGUAGCAGAGAAUCAGAAAAAAGACUGUUGGGCCACUCCACGAGAGAGAGAAAGCACCUAGGUUUCGAGGGUGUGAGCAAGACGGGGAGUUCCAUCUUUCUGGGGGUUGUCCUUGGAGGAACUACCAUGACGGUGGGAUGGAUCAUGGGGCUGACUGUGGUAGGUUGAGCCGAACCAAAACUCCCAUUCAGAAUCACCAAGAUCAUUGUUGAAGGAGGAAGACUGAUCGAGAAAGGGUUAUAAAGAAUGGAAAAAUUAACCACAAGCUUAACACGUUAUCGAAAAGCUCCA
Molecule: long non-coding RNA, 615 nt
Filed under: Elaeis guineensis (African oil palm)
Lineage: Eukaryota; Viridiplantae; Streptophyta; Magnoliopsida; Arecales; Arecaceae
Description: long non-coding RNA (EGUI_LNC010136)
Source: RNAcentral